RNAcentral lists this long non-coding RNA (1062 nucleotides) under Oryza sativa tropical japonica subgroup. RNAcentral's name for it is "lncRNA OsKeNa_03g0025320". The record is from RNAcentral. Lineage: Eukaryota; Viridiplantae; Streptophyta; Magnoliopsida; Poales; Poaceae.
GACGUGGCAGCGAUUCCGUCGGGCGGAGCGGCGGAGUUUCCGUCGGGAGGAGCGGUGGCGAUUCCGUCCGGUGAUUGUGCAGUCCUGUUGCGCAGUUUGCGGGAGGUGAAGUUUUUGGUUUGCUGGUGGCUACGACGCGGCUGUGAAGUUGGAGCUGAUUUUGUCAUGGGUCAUAGAAAAAGAUCAAAAGUGGAUAUUUCUAGUGAAUCUAACAGUGACAAUGAUUGUAGUUUGAGUUCUGAUAAUCAUGAUAGUGAUGUUCAUUUAUCUAAUCAUGAUGAAAGUUCUGAUAAUCAUGACCAACAUUUUGAGGAAAAUGAUCCUUUGCUUCAUUUAACUAAAGAAGAGCUUAUGAAGAAAUUGAAAAUAAAGCUUGGUAAAAGGCCAUUUACAGAUGACCAUAAAAAGAAGAGACAUAAAGUUGAAUCAGACUCAAUUAUCGAUGAUGCAUUGUUAGAGAUUCACAAUGAUCUAGUUCUCCAUUCUUUGAAAAUGAAAUUAAGCAUGCUUGGUGAACAGUCUAAAAAUAAGAGAAAAACCUUUGAGAAAGAUAACCAACAAGGGUGUAAUGAUCUUAUGAAACACCCUUCAAAAACUAAUUUUGGAAUGGUCCAAAAGAGUUUUUCUGGAGCAUCACUUGCUAGACCAAUUGAGAUAUGUGACAUGCUGUUUUUCCCAAUAUUGCAUUUGAGGCAUUGGUUUCUGUUUGUUGUUGAUUUGAAAGAUGAGAGUUUUGUUUUCAUUGACUCCUUAUUUGAAGAAGAAGAAGAAGACUAUCAAUACAAUGCUAGAUGCAGACUGAUAAUAUACCCACCUCGUCCAAGACAAACAAAUCGCCUUGAUUGUGGUAUUUUUACUCUGAAAUUCAUGGAAAUUUGGCGUCCAAGAGUUCUGCUAACCAACCAGUUCUCUCAAAAAGACAUUCCUAACAUAAGGAUUCAAUAUGUCAACAAAUUGUUUUUCCAUCCAUGCAACAUUGUGCUGAACUCUGCAACAAAGAAACUUGUUACUGACUAUUAUGCAAAGAGUCCAACAAAAUUAAAUAAAAGGGAGAAGCAUUGA